AUUGAACGCUGGCGGCAUGCUUUACACAUGCAAGUCGAACGGUAACAGGCCUUCGGGUGCUGACGAGUGGCGAACGGGUGAGUAAUGCAUCGGAACGUACCCAGAGGUGGGGGAUAACGCAGCGAAAGCUGUGCUAAUACCGCAUGUGAUCUGAGGAUGAAAGCGGGGGACCGAGCAGCAAUGUUUGGCCUCGCGCCUUUGGAGCGGCCGAUGUCGGAUUAGCUAGUUGGUGGGGUAAAGGCCUACCAAGGCGACGAUCCGUAGCUGGUCUGAGAGGACGACCAGCCACACUUGGACUGAGACACGGCCCAGACUCCUACGGGAGGCAGCAGUGGGGAAUUUUGGACAAUGGGCGCAAGCCUGAUCCAGCAAUGCCGCGUGCGGGAAGAAGGCCUUCGGGUUGUAAACCGCUUUUGGCAGGAACGAAACGGUGUCCGCUAAUACCGGGCGCUAAUGACGGUACCUGCAGAAUAAGCACCGGCUAACUACGUG
This 492-nucleotide ribosomal RNA is filed under the name uncultured bacterium. RNAcentral's name for it is "partial 16S ribosomal RNA". It matches the Rfam family "Bacterial small subunit ribosomal RNA", at positions 30 to 507 of the family's 1533-position model. The record is from RNAcentral.